GACGAACGCUGGCGGCGUGCUUAACACAUGCAAGUCGUACGGUAAGGCCCUUUCGGGGGUCCACGAGUGGCGAACGGGUGCGUAACACGUGAGUAACCUGCCCACAACUUUGGGAUAACGCUAGGAAACUGGUGCUAAUACUGGAUAUGUGCUCCUGCUGCAUGGUGGGGGUUGGAAAGCUCCGGCGGUUGUGGAUGGACUCGCGGCCUAUCAGCUUGUUGGUGGGGUAGUGGCCUACCAAGGCGGCGACGGGUAGCCGGCCUGAGAGGGUGACCGGCCACAGUGGGACUGAGAUACGGCCCAGACUCCUACGGGAGGCAGCAGGGGGGAAUAUUGCACAAUGGGCGCAAGCCUGAUGCAGCAACGCCGCGUGCGGGAUGACGGCCUUCGGGUUGUAAACCGCGUUCAGCAGGGACGAAGCUUUUUGUGACGGUACCUGCAGAAGAAGCACCGGCUAACUACGUG
This 465-nucleotide ribosomal RNA is filed under the name uncultured bacterium. RNAcentral's name for it is "partial 16S ribosomal RNA". It matches the Rfam family "Bacterial small subunit ribosomal RNA", at positions 28 to 507 of the family's 1533-position model. The record is from RNAcentral.